AAUUGCCACUAAGUUGUUUACACGCUUGAGAGACUCUCUCUCUUGCAAACAAAAAUGACCCAUUAGUAUCAGACGAUCUCAAAGACGGUGUGUCCCUCUCUGCUCACCCUCUUACUCCUCUUCAUCUCACGAGCUCAGACCCGCUGAGCCCUUGUCUCAAUUCAUCUCUUCGUAGUAUGCGAGCUUGAACAAAAGGCUGUAGCCGCUGUGCUAUGUCGUCGCCUCAGUUCCUCCUCCGUUUCGGAUGCAGUGGAGUCGGGGAGCUCGUCCCACGGCGGUCAUCAAGUUUUCACGCCUCCUUCUCUAUCAAGUUGUCAGACAAAUCUUUUCUCCGCCGCAUUUCUUCCAUCUCUCAAAGACUCGAACUCUUUUUCGAUCUCUCAGAUCUCCUCAACAACCUCCGGUGAGCCUCGUCGACAGCUCGUCCCACGGUGUUCAUCAAUUCGUCGCCUCUCCUGAUCAGUGCCUCUGAGACGCAAGCUUCUCUCCGCCGCAUAACCGUGAACCCACGCCGUCGUCGACUCCAAACUCAGAUCUGUGUCAAGUUUCUCAUUAUUUCUGUCUAGGUCCCUUCACUUUUAUUAUUUUUAAUGUGUCCCUCAAAUUUCUUAUUUUGUAAAAUUGCUUUUCAAGUUAGCUCCAAAUUUUUAAUUGUGCAACCAACCCUGCUAUAUACAAAUAUCUAUGCAAAUGCGAUACAAAUACAUAACUAAUAUCAGUUGUUUUUUUAUAUAUUUAACCAAGUUUGACCAUUUUAGAAUUUGUUUUUGUAUAGUAUGUUCAUAUAAACAAUAUAACUGAUAUUAUAUUAUAAACUUUACAUAAACAAAAUAGUUUUUGUAUUUGCAAUAAACAAUAUAAUCGAUGAGUAUUAACAAGGUGUUAAACUAUGAUAUUAUAACAUUUACAUAAACAAAAUAUUUUUUGUUAUUUAUGAAAAGUAUAAAAAAAUAUUUCAAAUAUCUAAAUAUAAAAUAUGUUAUCUUAACAUUAUUAAUUUAUAUUAGAGUAUAUUGUUGAUAUUUGAAUGAAACAUGCAAUUCUUAACUAAAAGUUUACACCAAACAUUAAAUCUUUAGUUAACAUCUUCAGAGAUCGUCUGAUACUAAUGGGUCAUUUUUUGUAAUUGGUAAAUCUUAACUAAACAUUUUACACGCUUGAGAGACUCUUUCUCUUGCAAAAAAUGAUCCAUUAGUAUCAGACGAUCUCAAAGACGGUGUGUCCCUCUUAACUAAACAUUAAGUAAUUGGUAAAUCUUAACUAAACAUUAAGUAAUGUAUGCAAGUCUUACGAGAUGUUAUUGGUUUAUAUAUUUUGGUUGAUUUAGAAAUCAAAAUGCAAAUGCAACUCGAACGAUUCCAUUUCAUCUUCUUUCUUAUCAUACGACGUUACACUUGCGUAAAUGUUAAUCAAUCAAGUUAUCCCACUAUUCUCAGUUUCCCACUCCUUGAUAUUCAAUGUUUCUUUAAUUCGAAGUUCACCAGAUUUGUUAGAUAUAAAUACGAAUCGUAUAAGCAAAAAAUCUAACUCCUUUUGCUUUUUUCCAAUCCAGAGCUUCUGUUCAUUAUUAGUCAAACCGAUCUGACCAUGGCGAUUUCUCAAAUUUAUUUCUCAGAGCUGAAGGUUGGCCGCUGCAGUUCAGACAAAACUGCUUCGUUUUUAGGAGGCCCGAAACGUGAAGAAGGGCGGUGAGCUGAUAGUCUCUGAUAUGAUGGCGACGCUCAUCUAAGCCUCUAUCACCAUCUUAACACCUUCAAACAUCUUCAGAGAGAAGGCUCGCUGUAUGAGUUGAGUGCUUUUGAUGUUGCAAGAAGCAACCCAAAUUCCGGUUAGGUGACGCUUCUGUCGCUAUAAGAUUUACGGAUCAGACCGUAUUGGUUGAUCUCGCAUCAUCCAGCCAACCGAUCUUGACUGAACGGUUUAGGUUCUGCAAUUAUGACCAACUCAUGACACUCGCUAACACCAGCACUGAUUUGUUAGUUUCUGUUUCAAUAAUAUAUAUUAGGGGAAGGUUAGGGGUAUUAAAACCUUUUCCAAUGAGGAGACCAAAGUACUCAACGCAUCAUGGGCACCAUGAAAUUUGAAAGUAUUAGGCUUGAUCUAUUCAGGGAGUCAAACGUGUACCUCAGUGUAUUCGACGGCCUUGCUAAGUUCCUCAAUGAGAAGUUUGCUGCCCCUGGUGUGGAACCAAAGGUGGUAGUGCCAACAAACAUAAACCCAAAGUUAGUUGGAGGUAAACACCAUCGCUCUCUUCACCUCUCCCUGCAAUAGUUUCCAGCAAACGUUCCGAAUGUUUCUCACACUUACCAUCAGCUUUCCUCCUGUCGGCUCUUUCUAAAUUGCCGCUAUCCCAUUGUCUAGAAGACAUUGUUUGCACCAUUCUGAACUUUGAAUUAAAGCUCUCUCCAUUCAACUUCACUACCAACCAUCAAAGUUUCACCAUCUCUCGGAUUUUUAAAAGCCACCCGUGACCACCACUACCUUUGUUUGAGAAUCACGGUGGUGAUGAGCACCCUGGUGAUGGCAUGCCUGGUUGUGAUGCUUUGAAAAGGAGUCCUCUUGGUUUGAACAGUCGUGACCUGAAACAAAGUGGCUGCAGUGGUGAUUCGAAUGUUGAGGGCGAGAGAGCAACCACUGGUUUGAACAGUCGUGACCUGAAAAAAACUAUGUUAUGUUUUUUUUAAAUGGUUUUUUUUAUUUUCAUGGGAUUUAUGCUCUGAAUUUUAUGCUAUAAUAAUAACUCUUCGUACUCAGA
Long non-coding RNA from Brassica oleracea var. oleracea, 2755 nucleotides. RefSeq lists it as uncharacterized. NCBI's taxonomy places the organism in Eukaryota, Viridiplantae, Streptophyta, Magnoliopsida, Brassicales, Brassicaceae. The transcript has 6 exons. The record is from RefSeq and is a predicted model, not a curated record.